UCUAUACCUUGCAUAUUGUGUUAGUGUUAGGAUUGGGACACUUGUCCCCAAUCCAAUGGCUCAUUUCUUUUAUAAAUAUAUGUUUGAGUUUUAAAAGAGAGAAGGGAAGAAAAAUAUUAGGGUUUGGGUUUGAGGGCAGCCACCUUUGGCUGAUUUAGGGAGGUCUCCGGCGCCUCGAAUGGCCGGAAAAUGGGAGAUCUCCGGCGUCUCGAAUGACCGGAAAAUGGGAGGUCCCGAACUCCUCGAAUUGUUCGGUUUAUGUUAGUAAUGAAAUAUUUUAGUUAUUAUGUUUUUUGUGUUUUGAUUGAAUAAGAGCUGGGUUCCUAACAGUUAGCACCACAACCAUGAAGGUCCACUACGGGAAGCCUAUGGAAAAGGACAGAAAAUCAUAGCAGAAGGAGACCACUGCAGGAGAGGAGAGUCUGAAAGCUUUCCCAAUCAAUUGGAGUGGCUGCGUGGCAGAAUGUAAUUGGGGACUUGAGUAAAAACUGUUAGUACAAGGAAAUAAAAAGGAGCAGGUAUAAGAGAUCAUGGCGAAAGAGGGCAUGGCGGUACACUUGUGGGAGACCGUACUAAUCUCCAACACAACCAACAAGAUAUAAAGAUUGACAACAACUGUUGAAGAGGGGAUAAACACUAAUCCUUUUGUGGGUGACAAUCAACAGGUGCCAAAUUGGGAAGAUAAAGAGUUGACACAUGAUGACAUGGAGGAAGAACACGAAGAAUUAAGAGAAGACAAGACCAUUUAUGGAGAUCAAGGUGAGAUCCUACUUGUUUGUAGAUUGUUAGAUGUUGUUGUGACCAAAGUUUCUUCAAGUGUAAGUUUUCUCAAGUCAUUGGAAAUGAAAGCGAAUCGAAAAAAGUUCACAUAGAGAAGAGAAAAGAGCAUGUAGAGGAAAAUUGUAAUGUGGGCAUUCAAAAUUCUGGCAAUACGGAUAAUUUUUCAGUUGUUGGUGCAAAGGAUGACAAUCAUGAUGGGAUAGACAACGAAUUUGGUUCAAAUGAUGAACUUCUUGAUGUUCAGUUGACUAACGUAGAAGUUCCCAUAUCUUAUGCAAACAGAUUGAAUGAUUUUAAUUUAAUUGAAGCAAAAGUCCCCAUUUUUUAUGA
Molecule: long non-coding RNA, 1110 nt
Organism: Mangifera indica (mango)
Lineage: Eukaryota; Viridiplantae; Streptophyta; Magnoliopsida; Sapindales; Anacardiaceae
Exons: 2
Source: RefSeq, a predicted model, not a curated record